GACCACCAGAGGAGAAGGAGGCACACUGCCAGCUCCUGAGGAGGGACAGCCAAGCCGGGAUGAACCCGGCGUCCCAAACAGAGGACUCGAUAGGAGGGGAUGGACUGGAGGACCCCCAAACCCCCCCCGGAGUGGAGAACACGACAUUGAGGCUUCUUGAACCAAGGGCACAGACUGCUUGACCAGUGAGCCGUGUGAUAAAGCACAAACAGUGCAGGAAAUGAAAACCCUAGGAGCAGCAGAUGAUGUGGGCAGGAGGCACAGUGGAAAGCAAAGAGGUGAAACCCUCAGUGUCUCCACUCGGGCCUUGCUUAAUGGGAUUACGUGGAAAGAUUGAGCAAUGGCCAUUCAAAUUCAAUGUGCAUGAAUGCUUGGUUUCUAACUGAUUAACGAUGACGUAUAAGCCUGGAAUACUCUGGGAGAUCACUAACAGUUGAGUCAUAGUUCCACUAUGUCUAUGGAGCUAUUCUUUGGGACGAGCACAUACAGUACAGUAUAGUACCGCAUUUUAAUCCAUAUUUACACCAAAACAGCUUGCUUGCCCACUUCACCUUAUAUUUCAUUUGAGUUUGGCACGUAAUCCCUUGGCUCAAAGCCAGUUCUCAGUUAAAUCCCCUGCAGCCCAGUUUACCUGCGGGCUGACUUUGGCCCAGUGUUUAAUUUCCCGUUUGGUAAAAGUAUCUGGCCAGUCAUUCUAGCACUGAAUUUGGUCUCUCACCUGACACUUUCACUUAUCCCUGUCACUUCCAUUUAUUCAUUUGCACCUUUGUGGCGUUCUGAUCUGGUUCCUGUGGGUUGCCAGGCAACCAUAACUGUAUUUUGCUGGGUUCUGCGGUACACCCUGCGGUACAACUGCUGUGCAGAGUUAGGUAAUAACUGAUGUUCAACUGUAUCUUUUAUUUUUAUCAAUGCCCACAAAUUGGAUGUUUCUAAGGAAAUAGUGUUUGAAUUUUGAAGGAUGCAAACUUUCCAGAUACAUAAUCAAUAUCGAGGGAGGGUGGAUCAGGAAUAAAGCAGGGUGGAAAACAGUGAAAUAAAGAUGUUUUACUGUGUGUCUUGCACCCCUGAGAACACCUUUGGGAUGUGACAUGGCUCUUCUGAGGCAUCACUCUAAUGAUGUGGUAUCAUGUUCCACAGUUUAGACAUGUCUGGUCAGGCUGUUAGCAAGCAUCAGUGGUAUGCAGAAAUAGUGGUUGGCUGAUUAACUUUAUUUUAUUUAACCUUACAUCUAGACACAAAGAGGGUAUUUUUUUUUGCGUGUAUUCUUUAUAGCUUGGUGAUAUGGGAGCUGGGGGCUACUGCUGGUGUAUCCAUUAGAGUUAUAUACUACUUUAGUUGAAUCUAGACAGAUGGCAGAGAAAACAUAUAUGAGAGUCUGGAAAAAUCACACUAAAAAUAUAGAGAAGGAAAGAAAAUUUACAAUUGCAGUGAAUGGAUAUAUGUGUAGAACCUAGCAGGAUAAAUCUCACACAAGGGAAUUCAUUUACAUACUAUUAAAGUUGACAUGUUAAUAUCAAAGCAUUAAAAUAUGUAAAUAGCAUAAGCCUGCACCAAAUCCUAAUUACUGCUUUACAUUAUCAACUCCUUUACUCUUUAUGAUAUUUUAUGACUGUUCAGCUGUGUCAGCGAACAAUUAUGAGACCCUCCUACAAUUUGAUAAUUUCUUUUUCUUUCUUUUUCUUUUUCUUUCCUUCCAUUCCUCUAGUUUGGAAAUAAUGAGAAGAUGCACAUUGGUGAAUGCCCUUUUUGCAUGAACAACAUAUGCUCUGGGUUCCUGGUGUUUCUCUUGUCUUUCUUUUAUCCUGCUUAUCACAAAGGCAGAUUUAUAUGCAGGCUAAUGAGAACUGACAUUUCCUAUACUAUCUGCUACAGUUACAGCACAGAUUUAAUGUUUCACAGGUGUUAUAUCAUUACAAAAUAAGCUAGAGGCAUAUAAGCAUUGAGGAAAAACUUAACUAUUAUUAUGAUAGAAAAAGAUGCUUCAUUUUAUGAAAGAUUGUACCUUUUGAGUCAUAAUGUCUUUAUGGCAGGGAAGAAAUUUAUCAUAAAAUCUGUACUGCCAAUCUGGAAUAAGACUUUGUUUUUUCCCCCCUCCCAAUAAUUUAAAGCAUUUAUUGAAAUCAAAAAGUGGUGAUGUGACGUUUCUUGAUUUUAGUAAAAAUGUCUGAAAUUUGAUCAUGUUUUAUUCAUUUCAAAUAGUUGCUUUAAAUUAA
This is a long non-coding RNA of Dermochelys coriacea (leatherback sea turtle), 2213 nucleotides long. RefSeq lists it as uncharacterized. The record is from RefSeq and is a predicted model, not a curated record. Lineage: Eukaryota; Metazoa; Chordata; Testudines; Dermochelyidae. The transcript has 3 exons.